UCUUUUAAUAAAAUUUAACUAACCCUACCCACAAUCGUGGCAUCAUCACCUCAAGCAGCCAAACUAUUCCUCAAGACCCAUGACGUUGUUUUUGCAAGCAGGCCCAAAGUCCAAUCCUCUUGUCGUACGGUGCGAAGGGCUUUACUUUUACCGAGUACGGUUCCUAUUGGAGAACUGCUCCGAAAUGGUGUACUCUACACCUUCUCAUUGGUUCGAAAGUUGAAUACUUUGCCCCAAUAAGGAAGGCGGAGCUGGGGUCGAUGGUUGAAACGGUAAAGAAGGCAGCGGCAGCAGGUGAGACGGUGGACAUUAGCGGAAAGGUAGGUGAGCUUAUCGAAGACAUAAUGUAUAAGAUGAUUUUUGGGCGCCCCUCCAAUUCUGAGGAUGACAAUUUGAACUUGAAACUGCUGAUUAAAGAGAUCUCGCGCUUAGCGGGAGCUUUCAACAUAUCGGAUUACAUACCUUAUCUUGCUCCACUUGACCUUCAGGUAAUCUCUAUUCUUUUCUCCGUUUACAAUUAUUUUCUCAAUGUCUCUUUCAUUCGUAUUGACACUUGAUAAUGGAAUAGUCAUUUCGAGAAAUGGUCAAUUUGAGCGGGUUCGAUAUUAUCUGGAAGAGUUAGAUAUUAUCGAGCUUCUCGAUGAUGACUAUUCCGAGCAGAUAAGAUGGAUUGUCCGGGGUCCACUAAUAGUUCAUGUCACAUCAACUAUUAAAAAAAUGUUCAAUUUUAAUAUUUGUGAAAUUUUGUUAUUAUUCUAUUUUAAAAAAAUUCAUUACUCAUAUUUAUUACGACUUAAAGUCUUAAACUAACCUUCAUCCUGAAAAAAUAUUUGACUUGGAAAAAUUUUGAAAUGAAAAAAAAAUGAGCACGCACACCUACUUGACUCAAGUCAGGUGUAGACAUAUUUUUUAGGCUCAAGCUUAGGAAUAUUAUUAUAUUAUUAAUACAUAAUAUUUUUAUUUCAUUUUAAUUUAAAAUAUCAAAAUAUUAAUAUUAAUAUUAAUAAUAAAAAUUUCAAAUUUGAGUUUAGAUAUUCAAGGCAUAACCACAACUAGUGCGAUUCAUGAACACCUUUUUAGGACAACUCUCCUUAUGGAAUUAGAACAAAUACACACAAAAACAUAAAUAAAUGUGCAUCCGAAUAUAAAAUCUAGAUAAGGUCAAAAAUUUUAGGACAAAUUCGUGAAGUUCUUUAUUAAAAACAAAAAAAUUAAAUUAAAUUUGAAAAUCUAAAUAGAUAGAUUGAAAGCUCUAAUUAUAUAGGUAAAAUAUACAAAAUUUGAAGUUUUUUUUUUGAAUUAAAGAAUAGAUUAUCUUUUUCUUCUUUUGCCUAUUUUAUAUGGAUACUGUCUUAUAUGAGAUGCAUGUACGUGUGUUGAUAUAUUUUUCAUUGUUUACAAAAAAAACCCAAUUAAAUAGAAAAAAUAACAAAUGUGUUUUACUUUCACUUUGAAAAUAAAAUGUAAUGAUGAAUUAAUAUAAUUAAUUACUUCCAUUCUCAAGGAUUAGCAUGAAAGCUAAAGAAGGUGAGUAAGAUACUCGACAAAUUCAUGGAGAAAAUAAUUGAUGAACAUGAACAAGCAGCUGGGAGUAAUCCUGAGGAGCAAAAACCUCAUAGAAUUUUCGUUCAUGUGAUGGUUUCAUUGUUUGAUAAACCCAUGAAUCCCCAUGACAGAGCAAGAAUUCAUAAUUGACAGAACAAACAUCAAAGCCAUAAUGUUAGACAUGAUUUCAGGUGCAUUAGAGACUUCAGCUAUAGCCAUUGAGUGGGCAUUAUCAGAACUCCUAAGGCAUCCUCGAGUGAUGUUUGGUCUUCAACAAGAGUUGAAAAUUGUGGUCGGCAGGAGUAGAAUGGUAGAAGAGUCGGAUCUACCACCGUUAACUUAUUUGGAUAUGGUUGUCAAAGAAAGUCUAAGGCUGCAUCCGAUUGGGCCGCUCUUAAUCCCCCAUAAGUCCAUGGAAGAUAUUAUGAUUGAUGGAUAUUUUAUACCAAAGAAGUCACGAAUCAUAGUAAAUACUUGGUCGAUAGGGCGAGACCUUGAUGUAUGGUCAAACAAUGCUGAAGAGUUCUUUCCAGAGAGAUUCAUCGAUAGCAAUAUCGACCUUCGAGGACAAGAUUUCCAACUCAUCCCAUUCGGAUCAGGUCGUAGAGGAUGCCCUGGAAUGCAAUUAGGCCUAAUAACAAUUCGCCUAGUGUCAGCUCAAUUGGUACAGUGCUUUGACUGGGAGUUGCCUGUUGAACUGGACAUGAGCGAAAAAUUUGGCCUCUCAAUGCCAAGGGCGAAUCCUUUUUUAGUGAAGGCAACUUAUCGUUACUUGAUAAUAGAAUGUAAAAUAAAUAGGAAAAAAAGAAUCUAACUGUAUAUGUUCUUUUUUUUGCCUAAACAAGUUCAUUUUAUUAAUAAUGAUAAAAUUAAUGGCUACAAGCCUCAGAGUUCAAAUGGUUUAAUUGGAAUAAAAGAAAGUCACUUGAAAGCACCCAAAAGUCAAUGUCCAGUCGGGCCAAAAAACAGAGUCACUAGAACAGGUAAGGGUGACACAUCCCUCUAGACAAAAGAUCAACAGUAGCAACAAUGAGAAUGUACAAUCAUUAAAACAUCCCCUCAUCGAUAUAUCAACGGCACAUGCAUUAGAAGAAUUUACAGAACACAUUCACAAGAGAACAUUAUCAACACAAAAUCUCUGAGGGUGAGAAUACAACAUCAGUGUCGAAAUUAGGCCUCCCAACACUUGCAGUCUUCGAGCAUGCUGUGGCAGUCUGCGAGCAAGGAGGUUUGCUGUUUUGCAACUUCUUUUUUCUUUUUUUUUGUAUUUUCAUAGAAUUUUCAUUCUAACAAAACCAAUAACAAAAUUGAUGAGAAAAAAAUGGGUUACAAAAAUUAACAUAAAUAUUUUUAAAAUGAUGUGGUCAUUUAAGUGGUUUUUAUAUUAUUAUUUUAUUAUUUAUUUAAAUGAAAUCACAUAUGAUGAUCAAUUACACUUUUAAUAAAUUUAAUAAUUAAAUUAAGAUAAAUUAAAAUUUGAUAAACAAAACGAGAAAAGAGAUAUAAAUUUGAUAACAAUCUAUGAAAUUUAAUCAUGCACUACUAGUAAAAAAACUCAAUAGAUUUUGGGUAUCAAAGGAUGGAUUUAUAUUUGAUACACAAAUAGCCUAUAGCUUUUAUACACUGUCAGGGCAUAAUAUGGUGCUACCAAAAGUCAGCUUUACCAUAAAGCUACCAUAGCCCUUGUUUUAAAUCUCAAUUUUUUAUGGACCUCAUAGUUUUAUAAUAAUAUAAUUAAUUAUAUUAAAAAUAUAUAAAAAUUAAAAUAAUUAAUAAUAUAUUUCUUAAAUUAAGUGCCUAACUAAUAUCUAUUUUCUCUUGCUUCACACAUCUUAUCAAUUAUCAACUAUUUAUCUCAUUUCUUAUUAAAAAUAUUUAAAAGUUAAGAUAAUUAAUAAAAUGAUAUAUUCUCUCACUUAUCUAAUUAUAUGUCUAAUAAAUCUCUAUUUUUUAUCAUUUUUCAAUUCCUACAAUACUAUUAAUUCUCAAUUAUUUUUCAUAUUUUCAAUCAACGGUAAUAUGUAUUUAAUAAUCUCCAACUAACAAUAAAUUUUUGGAUAAAAUACCCCCACCCUUUAAAUUUUUAUCAAAAUUUCAAUGGGUCUAUUAGUUUUCAAAAUGGACACUUUGUCCUAGAAAAAUAUUAUCCGCUAGACACAUAGGUCUAGGCGUUAGUCAACGGUUAGUUUUUUCAUUAGAUUGAUGACGUGGUCAUAUUAAAAUGAUAAUUUUACCUUUUACUAAUUUUAAAAAUUAUUAUUAUAUAAUUUUAUUAAUUUAUUAUUAUUAUUAUUAUAUAUUAAUUUAAAAAAUAGGAGGGAGAUCGGUACUCUCUUUUCUUGGAGAGUUAGGGAGCAUCGUAUUUUUUUAUAUAUAUUUUUAAAUAUAAUAAGAAUUUUUUAAAUUAAUAAAGAAAAAAGAACAUUUUAGUCAUUUCAUAGCCUUUGUUAAUAGUGUUUACACUUUCUAAGUGAGUGUUCAUUUCAAAAACUAAUGGACUUCUUUAGAAUUUCGAUUAAAACUUAAGGAUGUGAGGUAUUUUGCCCUUAUUUUUUUUAAUUUCAAUUAAAAAAGUCUCAUUUGAAUAUUUAGACAUUUUAAGCCUUUAAGAUUAUUGAGUUGCCCUAGUGCACAUCACUAAGAAAUAAAUUUAUAACUUUAAAGGAUUUCAAAAUAAAUAUUAUUAUUUUAAAAAAAUAAGAAAAAAAAUUCUCUCUUAAACUCCCUUACAUCCAAUCUCUUCCUCCCCUUCCCUUGUUCUUUUUUCUCCUAUUCUUCCUCCCUUAACAAUAAUGAGUCCAAAACCGUAAAUUUUUAAUUUUGAUUCUUGAUAUUUAUUUCACUCUUCUUUUUUAAAUUACUUCCAAAAAAUAAAAAUGGAUUUAAUACUUUCAUCUCAGUUUGUUCAAUAAUGGCUUGCCUUGAAAUAUGUUGAAUAAAAUGGAUAAAUAUAUUGAAGGCAAUUGGAAAAAGUAAAAAGAAAAACAACUAAAAAUUCUAAAGAAAUAUAAUUGUCUUAUGAAAGAUAUAAAGUUAACAAGUCAUACAAAAAUUUCACGUGUCUUCAUCUUUGAAUCCAAGCAAGAAAUAGAUCAAUUUGUACAUAUGAAUACUAAUCAAUUAGGAUUUGCUAAUGCAAUGAUUGGUUGUUGUGGCACGAGGAUAUUGUAGGUAUCAUACUCGUGUAACCAAUUCAUUUGAUAGGUUUAAUCAAAAAAUCAAUUGUGUUAAAAAAUAAAAAAAUUUAGGGUUUUGGAUCUAUGGUUGAGGGAAGGAGAGAAGGAAAUUGAGAUUGAUAUUUUUUUUUAAUUUUUAAAAGUAAUUAAUAAUAUUUAUUUUUAAAUAUCUUAACAUUAUAAAUUUAUUUUUUUAAUAAAAUAACAUCAUUUGAUAUUUUAACAGUGUAUAAAAAAUAUACACUAUCAAUACAUCAAAUAUAUAUAAACACUGUCAAGACAUCAUUUGAAACAUUUUUCGAAUGCUUCUUAACAUUAACCACGUGGGUUCAUCUCAUCUUCUCUAAAUAAAAAGAAAAAAUAACAAAAUCAUCUUAUUAAUUAGUGCCCGAAAGCAUAAGCUCGUUAAUUUACUGGAUAAAUCUGAUUUUGACACAUGCUUUUCAAGCUUCUAGGUACUGCCCUUUCCCAACCACACAUUGACGAGUCCCCUGCCCACAUGUCUCCUUCAGCAUUAGCCUUACUUCUUAUCCUCCUCGGAACUCUCUGUUCCUUUAUCUACGUCUCUCGACCAAAACGCCUCAAAAAUGGCCGGAAACUUCCUCCCGGUCCGCGCCCCCUGCCGGUAAUCGGUAACCUCCAUCUGCUAGGAAAGCUUCCACACCUAAAUCUUCACCAUCUAGCCAAAAGAUAUGGCCCCAUCAUGUUAUUAAGGCUAGGCUAUGUACCCACAAUCGUGGUAUCAUCACCUCAAGCCGCCGAACUAUUCCUCAAGACCCAUGACGUUGUUUUUGCAAGCAGGCCCAAAGUCCAAGCCUCGGAAUACUUGUCGUUCGGUGGGAAAGGCAUGGGUUUUACCGAGUACGGUUCCUACCGGCGAACUGUUCGGAAAUGGUGUACUCUACACCUUCUCAGUGGUGUAGAUAUUUUUAAAAUGAUGUGGUCAUUUAAGUGGUUUUUAUAUUAUUAUUUUAUUAUUUAUUUAAAUGAAAUCAGAUAUGAUGAUCAGUUACACUUUUAAAAAUUUAGUAAUUAAAUUAAGAUAAAUUAAAAUUUGAUAAGCAAAACGAGAAAAGAGAUAUAAAUUUGAUAACAAUCUAUGAAACUUAAUUGAGCACUACCGAUACAAAAACUCAAUAGAUUGUUGGUAUCAAAGCAUGGAUUUAUAUUUGAUACACCAAUAGCCUAUAGUUUUCAUAAACUGUCAAGGCAUAAUAUGGUGCAACCCAAAGCCGGCUUUACCAUAAAGCCACCAUAGCCUUUGUUUUAAAUCUCAAUUUUUUAUGGAUCUCAUAAUUUUAUAAUAAUAUAAUUAAUUAUAUUAAAGAUAUAUAAAAAUUAAAAUAAUUAAUAAAAUAUUUCUUAAAUUAAGUGCCUAACAAAUAUCUAUAUUCUCUCACUUCGCACAUCUUAUUAAUUAUCAACUAUUUAUCUCAUUUUCUAUUAAAAAUAUGUAAAAGUUAAAACAAUUAAUAAAAUGAUAUAUUCUCUCACUUCUUUAAUUAUGUGUCUAAUAAAUCUUUAUUUUUUAUCACUUUUCAAUUUUUACAAUGCUAUCAAUGCUCAAUUAUUUUUCAUAUUUUCAAUCAACGGUAAUAUGUAUUUAAUAAUCUCCAACUAAUAAUGAAUUUUUGAGUAAAAUACCCCCACCUCCUAAAUUUUAAUCGAAAUUUCAAAUAAAUCUAUUAGUUUUUAAAAUAGAUACUUCAUCUCAGAAAAAUAUCUUCCACUGGAUACAUAAAUUCAACUGUUAGUCAACCGUUAGUUUUUUCGUUAGAUUGAUGAUGUGGUCAUAUUGAAAUGAUAAUUUUACCCUUUACUAAUUAUAAAAAUUACUAUUAUAUAAUUUUUAUUAAUUUGUUAUUAUUUUUUAAUUAAUUUAAAAAAUAAGAGGGAGAUCGGUAAAAUUUAUAAAUUUUAUUCAUAAUUAUAAAAUAUAUAAUUUUUAUAAAUUUAUAAAUUUUAACAAUAAUGAAUCCAAAACCCCAAAUUUUUAAUUUUGAGUCUUGAAGAUAAUAUUUAUUUCACUCUUCUUCUUAGUUUAAUUCUUAAUAUUUAUUUCACUCUUCUUUUUUAAAUUACUUCUAAAAAAUGAAAAUGGAUUUAAUACUUUCAUGUCAGUUUGUUCAACAAUGGCUUGCCUUGAAAAAUGGUUGAGAAAAGGAGAUUGAGAUUGAUAUUUUUUUAAUUUUUAAAAAUAAUUAGUAAUAUUUAUUUUUAAACUCCUUAAAAUUAUAAAUUUAUUUUUUAAUGAGAUAGCAUCAUUUGAUAUCUUAACAGUGUAUAGAAAAUAUACUCUAGCAGUGCAUUAAAUAUAUAUAUAAACACUGUCAAGACAUCAUUUGAAACAUUUUUCGAAUGCUUCUUAACAUUAACCACAUGGGUUCAUCUCAUCUUCUCUAAAUAAAAAGAAUAAAUAACAAAAUCAUCUAUAACACAAGUAAAAGAAAUCCUUAAAAAGGGCUUCCAAGUUUAGCCACGUUGUGACUUUUUUUGGAUGACAUCUGUUCAGAAUAUAUUUAAUAUUAUUUUAUUUGUUUUUUUUUUUAAAGUUGAUGAAUUUCAUUAAUAGAAAAACAAAGAUAAGUUCCUUAGAUACAAAAACAAAGCACACUAUGCCUUGAUCAUCAUAUCAUCUCAAAAUUAUGUUGACAACCUGCCCAAGAGAAGCCAUCAAAAAAUAGAUCACCAAAAACAAACAUCCCUAUCAUCAAUUUAUAGACAGAAGAAGAUUCAACCCCAGCAUAAAGCCAUAAAGUCAUACCAAAAUCCCCCUGCUCAGUAAUUCAUUCUAGAUCAAUAAAAAACAGGUUGCAAUCCAAUCUAAAAUUCUGAAAUCUAGAUCACACGUCUUUACAAGUAAUCACAGCAUCUCAUUCAAAAGACUCCAUAUCAUCUUAGUAUUAUUUGAUUUGUAGAGGAUGCAUGUGUGGUAUUUUCUUUUUAUGCUCACUAAAACCAACUCACACUCUGGCUUUCAUUCAAUUGAGUCCUACUCCAGAAAACAUCAAUAGGCAAGGAAGCAAAGUAAAAGCCACUCCAAAAGAAAAAGCCCAAAAAAAGUGAAAAAAACUUGCACCUCCAGAGGAACGGUGGCUAGGUCUUGUUAGAAAGAGAGGAAAUUGGCGGUAGAAAGAAGGGGAAGAGAAGAAAAGAAGAAAAUGGGAAAGGGAAAGAAAGAGGGAGUUGUUGCCGAAAAUGCCCAGUUCGGCAUAGGCGACGGCAUCAGGGGCCAAGUUCGGGAGAAAGGGUUUAGAGAAACGGGUUGGUUGCUAGGGUCAGUGGGAGAAGAAGAAGAAGAGAGCAAAAACGAAGAAAAGGGAAAGGGGUUGCCAGCUACGUUUAGGGAAAAUCAAAACCACGUCGUUUUAUGGAUACAAAAAGAAGAAAAAGAAGAAGUGGGUUGGAUUCACUCAAGCCCUAACCGAUGCAAUUUUAGAUUUAGUCAAUUUAUUUUAUUUAUAUAAUUCUUUUUUAUCUAUAAAUUAAAUUUAUAAAAUUACGGAUAAAAAAAAUUAAACUAUUUUUUUUAUGAGAAAUAAAAAAUAAAACAGUUUAUUGAAUGAAGUUAACAAUGACUCAUUAAAAUUAUCGGGGAUCCCAAAAUUAUUUUCACAAGGUGGAUUAAUUCUAAAUAAAUAUAAAAGUAUAAGAUAAAAAAAUAAUAAUUAAAAUUAAAGAAAAUUCAUAAAAUUUCAUAAUUAAAAUUAAAAAAUUUUAAUAUGAGUUAUUAAUAUGCAUUUUAUUUUGACUUUCAAAAGAAAUAAUCAUUUUAUUAUAUAACUUAUGUAGCUUUUUUUUUGCUACCCAUAUAAAUUAUGUAGCUUAUGAAUAAUAACUUUCAAUAAAUUAAAUUUUCUUAAUUUUAAUUUUAUUUUACUAUUGGAAUCAUCAUAAUUAACAAAAUAUGAUUAUAUUAAUAUUAAUAUAUAUUAAGAUAUAAAAAAUAAAUAUUUUUAAAAAUUAUUUAAAUAAAAAAUUUUACUUAGUAAGACAUAGGAAAAUCUUUUUAAAAUAUCAAUUUUUUAAAAUAAUAAGCUUUAAUUUAUUAUGAUUACUAUUAUUUAUAAUUUUUUUCAAAUUUAAAAUUACUUUUUAAUUAUUAUUAUUUUAUUUAUAAUAUUAUGAAAUUUAAAAUUAUUCUUUAUUAAAAAAAUUAACCCCAUGCAAAGCGGGGCACCACUCUAGUCUUAUUAAUUAGUGCCCGAAAACAGAAGUUCAUUAAUUUACUGGAUAAAUCUAAUAUUGACACAUGCUUUUCAAGCUUUUAGGUAUUGCCCUUUCCCAACCACACACUGACGAUUCCCCUACCCACAUGUCUCCUUCAACAUUAGCCUUACUUCUUAUCCUCCUCGGAACUCUCUGUUCCUUUAUCUACAUCUCUCGGCCAAAACAACUCAAAAAUGGCCGGAAACAUCCUCCCGGUCCCCGGCCCUUGCCGGUAAUCGGUAACCUCCAUCUGCUAGGAAAGCUUCCACACCUAAAUCUUCACCAUCUAGCCAAAAGAUAUGGCCCCAUCAUGUUAUUAAGGCUAGGCUAUGUACCUACAAUCGUGGUAUCAUCACCUCAAGCCGCCGAACUAUUCCUCAAGACCCAUGACGUUGUUUUUGCAAGCAGGCCCAAAGUCCAAGCCUCUGAAUACUUGUCUUACGGUGGGAAAGGCAUGGGUUUCACCGAGUACGGUUCCUACUGGCGAACUGUUCGGAAAUGGUGUACUCUACACCUUCUCAGUGGUUCGAAAGUUGAAUACUUUGCCCCAUUAAGGAAGGCGGAGCUGGGGUCGAUGGUUGAAACGGUAAAGAAGGCAGCGGCAGCAGGUGAGACGGUGGACAUUAGCCGAAAGGUAGGUGAGCUUAUCGAAGAC
This 9585-nucleotide long non-coding RNA is filed under the name Theobroma cacao (cacao). RNAcentral describes it as "long non-coding RNA (TCAC_LNC001515)". Lineage: Eukaryota; Viridiplantae; Streptophyta; Magnoliopsida; Malvales; Malvaceae. The record is from RNAcentral.